This is a non-coding RNA of Salmo salar (Atlantic salmon), 54 nucleotides long. The record is from Rfam. Lineage: Eukaryota; Metazoa; Chordata; Actinopteri; Salmoniformes; Salmonidae.
UGGAUUCACUACUCUAAGUCGCUCUGGAUAAGAGCAUCUGCUAAAUGACUAAAA